Non-coding RNA from Cyanistes caeruleus (blue tit), 683 nucleotides. The record is from RefSeq and is a predicted model, not a curated record. NCBI's taxonomy places the organism in Eukaryota, Metazoa, Chordata, Aves, Passeriformes, Paridae.
UGACUUUAUUGUAUAAAAUAUGGGCUUGCCCCUGCCCUUUCCCACCCCACUGUCCUUUCUCCUAUGACCUCCGCAGAGUGAGCAGAAAUGUGUGUUUCUCUUGUAGAUAAAGUAUCACUGAUGAAAGAGUUUGGCCAGCAAUGGAGUCAACUGAGUGGCCAAGCUCUGCUGGACGUCACAGAGCGUAUCACAGUGCUUGUGGAAUGGGUUUAUCCCAGGAGCCCUGAAGUCGUCCAGCGCUACGCCCUGCCCGUGCUCUGGUCCUUCCUGGGGAACAAGGCACUGCCCGUGCGAAGCGCCAAUGUCCGCACUGUGGUCACCAAGCUUGCCUCUGCCCUCUACAAGGUGAUGGGCACCAAGCUGAGGAAGUGUGCUGCCAGCCAGCCUCCACAUGUGCGGCAAAACCUCUCCAGCAUCUUGGGCUGGUGAGGGCCUGAUGCUCUCCAGGAAGCUGACGAAGAGCUGACUCAAACACCUCCGGACGUGACUUUUUAGCUGUGCCAACAACGACAAAAUACUGAGGAAGGGUUUGCAUCCGCCCCCGCUCUCUCCACUGCCCUUCCUAGUCAAGGCAUGGGGGGCCUGAAACAACUCCAGAUUGAGGACAAGACGAAGGCUGAGCAGGGCUCAGCCUCUCACACAGACCUGACAGGCUCCUCUCAUCACCAAGAAAUUUUCUCUGC